This 518-nucleotide ribosomal RNA is filed under the name uncultured Bacteroidota bacterium. RNAcentral's name for it is "bacterial SSU rRNA". It matches the Rfam family "Bacterial small subunit ribosomal RNA", at positions 353 to 874 of the family's 1533-position model. The record is from RNAcentral. Lineage: Bacteria; Pseudomonadati; Bacteroidota.
AGUAGGAAUAUGGGCCAAGGGGUGAGAUCUUGAUCCAGCCAUGCGGGGGGCAGAAAGAGGGCCUUUGGGUUGUAAACUGUUUUUGCCAGGAGAUAAAAAGUCCCUGCGGGGAAAAUUGAAGGUACCUGGUGAAUAAGCCCCGGCUAACUACGUGCCAGCAGCCGCGGUAAUACGUAGGUGGCAAGCGUUGUCCGGAUUUAUUGGGUUUAAAGGGUGCGUAGGUUGUGUUGUAAGUCAGUGGUGAAAUCCGGCAGCUUAACUGUCGAUGUGCCAUUGAUACUGCAGCACUUGAGUACAGACGAGGUAGGCGGAAUUGACGGUGUAGCGGUGAAAUGCUUAGAUAUCGUCAAGAACACCGAUAGCGAAGGCAGCUUACUAGACUGUAACUGACACUGAUGCACGAAAGUGUGGGGAUCAAACAGGAUUAGAUACCCUGGUAGUCCACACUGUAAACGAUGAUUACUCGAUGUUGGCGAUACACAGCCAGCGUCUUAGCGAAAGCGAUAAGUAAUCCACCU